GACGAACGCUGGCGGCGUGCUUAACACAUGCAAGUCGAACGGAAAGGCCCUGCUUUUGUGGGGUGCUCGAGUGGCGAACGGGUGAGUAACACGUGAGUAACCUGCCCUUGACUUUGGGAUAACUUCAGGAAACUGGGGCUAAUACCGGAUAGGAGCUCCUGCUACAUGGUGGGGGUUGGAAAGUUUCGGCGGUUGGGGAUGGACUCGCGGCUUAUCAGCUUGUUGGUGGGGUAGUGGCUUACCAAGGCUUUGACGGGUAGCCGGCCUGAGAGGGUGACCGGCCACCUUGGGACUGCGAUACGGCCCAGACUCCUACGGGCGGCAGCAGUGGGGAAUAUUGCACAAUGGGCGGAAGCCUGAUGCAGCAACGCCGCGUGCGGGAUGACGGCCUUCGGGUUGUAAACCGCUUUCGCCUGUGACGAAGCGUGAGUGACGGUAAUGGGUAAAGAAGCACCGGCUAACUACGUG
This 468-nucleotide ribosomal RNA is filed under the name uncultured bacterium. RNAcentral describes it as "partial 16S ribosomal RNA". It matches the Rfam family "Bacterial small subunit ribosomal RNA", at positions 28 to 507 of the family's 1533-position model. The record is from RNAcentral.